RNAcentral lists this ribosomal RNA (482 nucleotides) under uncultured bacterium. RNAcentral's name for it is "partial 16S ribosomal RNA". It matches the Rfam family "Bacterial small subunit ribosomal RNA", at positions 355 to 828 of the family's 1533-position model. The record is from RNAcentral.
UGGGGAAUAUUGCACAAUGGGCGCAGGCCUGAUGCAGCCAUGCCGCGUGUGUGAAGAAGGCCUUCGGGUUGUAAAGCACUUUCAGCGAGGAGGAAGGUGGUGAGCUUAAUACGCUCAUCAAUUGACGUUACUCGCAGAAGAAGCACCGGCUAACUCCGUGCCAGCAGCCGCGGUAAUACGGAGGGUGCAAGCGUUAAUCGGAAUUACUGGGCGUAAAGCGCACGCAGGCGGUUUGUUAAGUCAGAUGUGAAAUCCCCGGGCUCAACCUGGGAACUGCAUUUGAAACUGGCAAGCUAGAGUCUCGUAGAGGGGGGUAGAAUUCCAGGUGUAGCGGUGAAAUGCGUAGAGAUCUGGAGGAAUACCGGUGGCGAAGGCGGCCCCCUGGACGAAGACUGACGCUCAGGUGCGAAAGCGUGGGGCAGCAAACAGGAUUAGAUACCCUGGUAGUCCACGCUGUAAACGAUGUCGAUUUGGAGGUUGUG